AUAUUUGUGGACAUCAUCAAUCAGAGCAAGUAGUCGCCCCAUUGAUGCUUCCAUUCCUUCAAGAUCAUUGGGAAGUUUGUCCACGGUUGUUGUCUUGAGCAUAUCAACUAUAUCAAGGAGCACAAGAAAGUCCUAGUUUAUCCUUCAAACUGUUGAUGUCUGGCAUUAUGUAAGGACGGAAAACAAUACAAUCUAUCCAACCAUUGUAUUCAUUAA
Molecule: long non-coding RNA, 216 nt
Organism: Lycium barbarum (goji berry)
Lineage: Eukaryota; Viridiplantae; Streptophyta; Magnoliopsida; Solanales; Solanaceae
Exons: 2
Source: RefSeq, a predicted model, not a curated record